CUUGUUGGGGUUGUAGGACUCCAAUAUGGUAGUCUGUUAGUAUAGUUGAAGGAUUUGGAAAAUUCCGCUAAAGAGGGUGAAAGCCCCGUAGACGAAAUGCUAACAACACCUAGGAGGAUCCUGAGUACGGCGGAACACGAGAAAUUCCGUCGGAAUCCGCGGGGACCAUCCCGCAAGGCUAAAUACUCCCUAGUGACCGAUAGUGAACCAGUACCGUGAGGGAAAGGUGAAAAGCACCCCGGAAGGGGAGUGAAAUAGAUCCUGAAACCGUGUGCCUACAACAAGUCAAAGCUCGUUAAUGAGUGAUGGCGUGCCUUUUGUAGAAUGAACCGGCGAGUUACGAUUGCAUGCGAGGUUAAGUCGAAGAGACGGAGCCGCAGCGAAAGCGAGUCUGAAUAGGGCGAAUGAGUAUGUAGUCGUAGACCCGAAACCAUGUGAUCUACCCAUGUCCAGGUUGAAGGUGCGGUAAAACGCACUGGAGGACCGAACCCACGUACGUUGAAAAGUGCGGGGAUGAGGUGUGGGUAGCGGAGAAAUUCCAAACGAACUUGGAGAUAGCUGGUUCUCUCCGAAAUAGCUUUAGGGCUAGCCUCGGAAUUGAGAAUGAUGGAGGUAGAGCACUGUUUGGACUAGGGGCCCAUCUCGGGUUACCGAAUUCAGAUAAACUCCGAAUGCCAUUCAUUUAUAUCCGGGAGUCAGACUGCGAGUGAUAAGAUCCGUAGUCGAAAGGGAAACAGCCCAGACCACCAGCUAAGGUCCCAAAAUAUAUGUUAAGUGGAAAAGGAUGUGGGGUUGCACAGACAACUAGGAUGUUGGCUUAGAAGCAGCCACCAUUUAAAGAGUGCGUAAUAGCUCACUAGUCGAGUGACCCUGCGCCGAAAAUGUACCGGGGCUAAACAUAUUACCGAAGCUGUGGACUACACCAUUAGGUGUAGUGGUAGGAGAGCGUUCUAAGGGCGUUGAAGGUCGAUCGUGAGGACGGCUGGAGCGCUUAGAAGUGAGAAUGCCGGUAUGAGUAGCGAAAGACAGGUGAGAAUCCUGUCCACCGUAUGACUAAGGUUUCCUGGGGAAGGCUCGUCCGCCCAGGGUUAGUCGGGACCUAAGCCGAGGCCGAUAGGCGUAGGCGAUGGACAACAGGUUGAUAUUCCUGUACCAGUUGUUUUUGUUUGAGCAAUGGAGGGACGCAGUAGGCUAAGGAAUGCAUGCGAUUGGAAGUGCAUGUCCAAGCAAUGAGUCUUGAGUAGAGUUAAAUGCUUUACUCUCUAAGGACAAGUUGUGACGGGGAGCGAAAUAAUAGUAGCGAAGUUCCUGAUGUCACACUGCCAAGAAAAGCUUCUAGUGAGAAAACAACUGCCCGUACCGUAAACCGACACAGGUAGUCGAGGAGAGUAUCCUAAGGUGAGCGAGCGAACUCUCGUUAAGGAACUCGGCAAAAUGACCCCGUAACUUCGGGAGAAGGGGUGCUGACUUCGGUCAGCCGCAGUGAAUAGGCCCAAGCGACUGUUUAUCAAAAACACAGGUCUCUGCAAAAUCGUAAGAUGAAGUAUAGGGGCUGACGCCUGCCCGGUGCUGGAAGGUUAAGAGGAUGGGUUAGCUUCGGCGAAGCUCAGAAUUGAAGCCCCAGUAAACGGCGGCCGUAACUAUAACGGUCCUAAGGUAGCGAAAUUCCUUGUCGGGUAAGUUCCGACCCGCACGAAAGGCGUAACGAUUUGGGCACUGUCUCAACGAGAGACUCGGUGAAAUUUUAGUACCUGUGAAGAUGCAGGUUACCCGCGACAGGACGGAAAGACCCCAUGGAGCUUUACUGUAGUUUGAUAUUGAGUGUUUGUACCACAUGUACAGGAUAGGUAGGAGCCGAUGAGACCGGAACGCUAGUUUCGGAGGAGGCGCUGGUGGGAUACUACCCUUGUGUUAUGAACCCUCUAACCCGCACCACUAAUCGUGGUGGGAGACAGUGUCAGAUGGGCAGUUUGACUGGGGCGGUCGCCUCCUAAAAGGUAACGGAGGCGCCCAAAGGUUCCCUCAGAAUGGUUGGAAAUCAUUCGAAGAGUGUAAAGGCAGAAGG
This 2065-nucleotide ribosomal RNA is filed under the name human gut metagenome. RNAcentral's name for it is "bacterial LSU rRNA". It matches the Rfam family "Bacterial large subunit ribosomal RNA", at positions 288 to 2364 of the family's 2925-position model. The record is from RNAcentral.